AUUGCUUCUCGGCCUUUUGGGUAAGAUCAAGUAUA
RNAcentral lists this small nuclear RNA (35 nucleotides) under Cervus elaphus hippelaphus. The record is from RNAcentral. Lineage: Eukaryota; Metazoa; Chordata; Mammalia; Artiodactyla; Cervidae.